RNAcentral lists this ribosomal RNA (497 nucleotides) under uncultured bacterium. RNAcentral's name for it is "partial 16S ribosomal RNA". It matches the Rfam family "Bacterial small subunit ribosomal RNA", at positions 28 to 507 of the family's 1533-position model. The record is from RNAcentral.
GAUGAACGCUGGCGGCGUGCCUAAUACAUGCAAGUCGAGCGAACAGAUGAGGAGCUUGCUCCUCUGACGUUAGCGGCGGACGGGUGAGUAACACGUGGAUAACCUACCUAUAAUACUGGGAUAACUUCGGGAAACCGGAGCUACUACCGGAUAAUAUAUUGAACCGCAUGGUUCAAUAGUGAAAGACGGUUUUGCUGUCUCUUAUAGAUGGAUCCGCGCCGCAUUAGCUAGUUGGUAAGGUAACGGCUUACCAAGGCAACGAUGCGUAGCCGACCUGAGAGGAUGAUCGGCCACACUGGAACUGAGACACGGUCCAGACUCCUACGGGAGGCAGCAGUAGGGAAUCUUCGGCAAUGGGCGAAAGCCUGACGGAGCAACGCCGCGUGAGUGAUGAAGGUCUUCGGAUCGUAAAACUCUGUUAUUAGGGAAGAACAAAUGUGUAAGUAACUAUGCACGUCUUGACGGUACCUAAUCAGAAAGCCACGGCUAACUACGUG